CCAGAGGGUCGGAACAGAAGCAGCAGCAGGAAUGUUGCUAGGCAAAAAGGUUCUGAUGACAAUGAUGGAGAUUGCAAAUUAUGAUUAGUGCAAACCCAGGAUGUGUCAUCAGCUUAGGAUUCUGUUAUUUACUUAAUUUGAGCCUAAUGAUAUGAAACAUCGUUGUAAUGUUGAAGUUUUCUUAUCCUUUUCAAGGUGCUUCAAUUCCCUGAGGAAAGAGGCAAGCAGAUGGAAUAUUUCAGGCUGCAGACAUAGAAGAACGAGAUAGAAAUAUGCUCUCUGUCCUUGAUGUGAAGAUUCUGUCACUUUUAAUUCUCCAUCUUAUUUACUUUUCUACUACAUAAGAACUGGGGCUUGUUUUAGCAGCAUUGAUUAAGUUGUCAUUGAUUUUCAAGAUAGGAAAUAGAACUUUCAAAUUUCCCACAUGAAUUUUAAAUAAGUCAGAUAUUAACAACAAGAUAAAACAUUUACCAUGGCAAUGACAGAAUAGUCAAGUAUCAUUCAAAACCUUUCAAGGCUCACAAAGAGCAUAUGGAUUCUAGAUGUCAAUACAUACAUGACUAGAACUUACCUGGAGACACACAGCCAGCAAGAUGAGCAUCUGGAGCAGAGAGGAAUUUUACUUUAACGGAAGAUAGCGGUGAGGGCUUGAACACUAAGGAAUUAAUGAGAGAUCAGCCCCUUUAGCGACUCAAAGCAUAUUAUAACUCCAGCUGGUCAAAAAGAGAGGAAAUAAAUAAUAUAACAGGAACAACUGGAAGAGCAAGUGCAGCAUCAGGUUGGUGCAUUUCUUCUGAUCAAAAGGUCGAAUUGCAACUGGUCUUUGAAGAGUGUGCUGGUGACAGUGUGCAACCUUUGCAGUAGCUCCUGGACUGGCCCUAGACUGCUGUCAAAUUAAACCAGCACUGUAAAGAAGAGAGCAAGUUGAAUGAAGUUGAAUGAAGGGGCAUCUUAAUUCCAAUCCUGGCUCUAAUGCUGACUGUAAGCAUGACCCCGGAUGAGUUAUUCACUCUCUCAGUCUCAGUCUCCUCAUCCACAAAGCAGGGAUCACAAUAAAUGAAUAGCACCUUUCACAGAACCCACCAUAUAUACUGAGUGUUCAAUAAAUACCGUGUUCAUCAUCUAACAUCAUAACACAUUGAGCAUCCAUCAAAGCAGAAGUAGUUCGCACCUGGAUAUUUCUGUUUCUUUUUUUUUUUUUGCUAUCCUACUGGUGUUUUACUUAAAUUUAGUGUGGUAAUAUGAAAGAAAAUUACUGCUCUUCUGCUAUUUAGUUAGCAUUUUUAUGCUUUUUAAAAAAUAUUGCAAUAAAAUUAAUAAAAUUUGAAUUCAGUCUUUCCUAUUUAACUAAUAUUAUCUAAAAAUAACUACCUCCCAGGACCACAUUAUACAACAACAUAUAGUAGCUACCUAGGGGCAGCUAUCUUAAUUGUUGAGAAAAUUCUACAAAGAAAGUACCUUCUUCUGGACAUCAUACCUAUUCAUAUUGCCAGUGUCAGGGAUGUUUACCAUGGUUAUGGUAUGGUAAUAACAUGAUACUGAUCAUCAGUACGCAGCAAAUGAACAUACUUUCUCAAUUCUAAUAAAGCAUCAAUUGGGACACAC
This 1605-nucleotide long non-coding RNA is filed under the name Homo sapiens (human). RNAcentral's name for it is "HSALNT0330713". Lineage: Eukaryota; Metazoa; Chordata; Mammalia; Primates; Hominidae. The record is from RNAcentral.